ACCUGCGGAAGGAUCAUUACCGAAGUACAGGCCCUUUUAUAGGGCUACACUUCCACCCUUUGCUUACUAUUCUUUGUUGCUUUGGCGAGACGUCUUCGGACCACCGGCUCUCGGGCUGGUGCGCGCUCGCCAGAGAAAACCCAAACCCAAACCUUUUAGUGUCGUCUGAGAAAUAAGUUUAAUUAUUAAAACUUUCAACAACGGAUCUCUUGGCUCUGGCAUCGAUGAAGAACGCAGCGAAAUGCGAUAAGUAAUGUGAAUUGCAGAAUUCAGUGAAUCAUCGAAUCUUUGAACGCACAUUGCGCCCCUUGGUAUUCCGGGGGGCAUGCCUGUUCGAGCGUCAUUAUCACCCCUCAAGCUCAGCUUGGUGUUGGGGCCCGCCCCUCACAGGGCAGCCCUUAAAAGCAGUGGCGGUGCCAUCUGGCUCUACGCGUAGUAAUACUUCUCGCGACAGAGUCCCGGUGGUGUCCUGCCAGAACCCCCCAUAUAUUUAAUGAUUGACCUCGGAUCAGGUAGGGAUACCCGCUGAACUUAAGCAUAU
RNAcentral lists this ribosomal RNA (541 nucleotides) under Tricellula proliferata. Its description in RNAcentral is "Articulospora proliferata eukaryotic LSU rRNA". The stretch from base 190 to 343 matches the Rfam family "5.8S ribosomal RNA". Lineage: Eukaryota; Fungi; Ascomycota; Leotiomycetes; Helotiales; Calloriaceae. The record is from RNAcentral.